Molecule: ribosomal RNA, 253 nt
Filed under: uncultured bacterium
Lineage: Bacteria
Description: partial 16S ribosomal RNA
Rfam family: Bacterial small subunit ribosomal RNA
Source: RNAcentral
UACGUAGGGGGCAAGCGUUGUCCGGAAUCAUUGGGCGUAAAGAGCGUGUAGGUGGCUCGGUAAGUCCGCUGUGAAAGUCCAGGGCUCAACCCUGGAAUGCCGGUGGAAACUGUCGAGCUCGAGUCCGGAAGAGGCGAGUGGAAUUCCCGGUGUAGCAGUGAAAUGCGUAGAGAUCGGGAGGAACAUCAGUUGCGAAGGCGGCUCUCUGGACCAGCACUGACACUGAGGCACGAAAGCGUGGGGAGCAAACAGG